UUAACUCAAAUUUGUAUGGUGUUGGAACAGCUUCCCUUCGUAAGCCGCUAGGGGCGCUCUGCCAACUCCAUACAAAUUUGAGUUA
Non-coding RNA from Bombyx mori (domestic silkworm), 85 nucleotides. The record is from Rfam. NCBI's taxonomy places the organism in Eukaryota, Metazoa, Arthropoda, Insecta, Lepidoptera, Bombycidae.